Molecule: long non-coding RNA, 185 nt
Organism: Solanum dulcamara
Lineage: Eukaryota; Viridiplantae; Streptophyta; Magnoliopsida; Solanales; Solanaceae
Exons: 3
Source: RefSeq, a predicted model, not a curated record
GAUUGUAUGGAUUCAGAGGAUGAGCAUAAAGGAAAAGCUCAAGUCCCGAGUUGAUUUCUUCACUUUAAGGGAUGGACGAUCAUUGCACACCUCUUAUUUAUGAGUAGAGUUGAGCUUCGACAAACACUUGUGUAUACACACAUAAGGAAUGAGCUUGAGUAAAGGAAGAACAGGAGGAGCAGGGA